Molecule: ribosomal RNA, 1317 nt
Filed under: Triticum aestivum (bread wheat)
Lineage: Eukaryota; Viridiplantae; Streptophyta; Magnoliopsida; Poales; Poaceae
Description: partial small subunit ribosomal RNA
Source: RNAcentral
AUGAGUGAUAAAAAGGUUUUACAGCAUUUCUUAGGAAUUGUAAACUAUGCGCGAAACUAUAUAGACAACAAGUUAGCAGGACCUUUAUAUGCUAAAUUAAGGAAAAAUGGUCAAAAAUACUUCAAUUCUGAAGAUAUAAAAUUAGUAAAGGCCAUCAAGGAAAAGGUCAAGAAUUUAAAACCCCUAGAAUUGCCUCUAGAAGACAAUUAUUUUAUAAUUGAGACAGAUGCAUCUAAGGUAGGAUGGGGUGCGAUACUAAAACAAAAACCCAAUAAAUACUCCCCAAAAGCAGAUGAAAAAAUAUGCAGAUAUGCUUCGGGAAGUUACAAAUUAAAGACGAUAAAUAAUAUUGAUAGGGAAAUCCUUGCAGUUGUAAAUGCAAUAAAUGCAUUUAGGCUAUAUCUAGGAUUUAAAGAAUUUACAGUGCGAACAGACUGUGAAGCUAUAUGUCGAUAUUACAAUAAAAUUAAUAAAAUGAGGAAAGGAUUAUUCGCCAACAAGGAUGAAUAUCUCUUCUUUGGAGAAGAAAAUAGGCUGAAAAUGUUUAAGCCAAAUAUAUUCAAUUUCAAGCCAAAAUCCCAUAUUAAGCUUGAUGAAGCUCAAAGAUGCAUAUUGGAUAACUUUUGGUUCCAAUAUACUCUCAAGAGAGAGGAAAAAAUGAUAUUUUUUUUAUCAAUUCUCAAUAGUUUGGCAGAAUAUUUUAAUGAAUUAAACAAAAAUUUGCCAAAGCCAGAAAAGAUUGAAAUACCAAAAGGAGAAACACUAUAUCUUAUAUUUGAUGGAAAUAAACCUGGCAUAUAUUUGGAAUGGGAAAAUAUAAUGAUUGAAAAAGUAGAUGCAAAAAUAAAAGGACAAGAUUUAACAUUCAAAAGAUAUUAUAAUAUAGAUGAUGCCUUACUUUGGGCAAGAAAGGUAUUAGGACCAGAUUAUUAUAUUGACCCAAAGGCUAAAGACUAUAUCCAAAUAAAAAGAGGCAUACCUGCUUCACCAACUCCCACAAAGGGGGAGGCAUCAAGCUCAAAAAAUAUAAAGAAGGAAGAGUCUUCAAAAUAUAAGACAUAUCAAGAAUGCCUUCUAAAGGGGCUUGACCCUUUAGACAGUGAAUACAUAGAUCAAGAAAUGCAUAAAAGAUUUAAAGAAUUUUCAAAAAUAAUAAAUAAAGAAUUGAAAGAAGAAAUAUUAAAAGAAUUAAGGCAUGAAAUGGACGAAAAAUUUGAAGAAAUAAAGAAAGAAUGCGAUCAAAAAUAUGAUUUCAAUCUGUUAAACGAUGAUGAUGAUCAUAUGGACAUAGCAGGGCAUGGGCAGCGACCUGAAUAA